RNAcentral lists this ribosomal RNA (735 nucleotides) under uncultured marine bacterium. RNAcentral describes it as "bacterial SSU rRNA". It matches the Rfam family "Bacterial small subunit ribosomal RNA", at positions 97 to 869 of the family's 1533-position model. The record is from RNAcentral.
GGCAGACGGGUGAGUAACAUGUAGGUAUCUUCCCAUUGGUGAGGAAUAACACGAGGAAACUUGUGCUAAUACCUCAUAAGUCUUUACGGAGAAAGCUUUAUGCGCCGAUGGAUGAGCCUGCACUUGAUUAGUUUGUUGGUAGGGUAAUGGCCUACCAAGACAAUGAUCAAUAGCUGAUUUGAGAGGAUGAUCAGCCACAUUGGGACUGAGACACGGCCCAAACUCCUACGGGAGGCAGCAGUAGGGAAUCUUGCACAAUGGGGGAAACCCUGAUGCAGCGAUGCCGCGUGAGUGGAGAAGGCCUUUGGGUUGUAAAGCUCUUUCGUCGGGGAAGAAAAUGACUGUACCCGAAUAAGAAGGUCCGGCUAACUUCGUGCCAGCAGCCGCGGUAAUACGAAGGGACCUAGCGUAGUUCGGAAUUACUGGGCUUAAAGAGUUCGUAGGUGGUUAAAAAAGUUGGUGGUGAAAUCCCAGAGCUUAACUCUGGAACUGCCAUCAAAACUUUUUAGCUAGAGUAUGAUAGAGGAAAGCAGAAUUUCUAGUGUUGAGGUGAAAUUCGUAGAUAUUAGAAAGAAUACCAAUUGCGAAGGCAGCUUUCUGGAUCAUUACUGACACUGAGGAACGAAAGCAUGGGUAGCGAAGAGGAUUAGAUACCCUCGUAGUCCAUGCCGUAAACGAUGUGUGUUAGACGUUGGAAAUUUAUUUUCUGUGUCGCAGCGAAAGCAAUAAACACAC